GACGAACGCUGGCGGCGUGCUUAACACAUGCAAGUCGAACGGAAAGGCCCUGCUUUUGUGGGGUUCUCGAGUGGCGAACGGGGGAGUAACACGCGAGUAUCCUGCCCUUGUCUGUGGGAUAACUUCAGGAAACUGGGGCUAUUACCGCAUAGGAGAUCCUGCUGCGUGGGGGGGGUUGGUGAGUUUCGGCCGUUGGGGAUGGACUCGCGGGUUAUGAGCUUGUUGGUGGGGUAGUGGCUUACCAAGGCUAUGACGGGUAGCCGGCCUGAGAGGGUGACCGGCCACAUUGGGCCUGAGAUACGGAGCAGUCGGCUACGGGAGGCAGCAGUGGGGAACAUGGCACAAUGGGCGGAAGCCUGAGGCAGCAAUGCCGCGUGCGGGAUGACGGCCUUUGGGUUGUGAACCGCUUUCGCCUGUGACGAAGCGUGAGUGACGGUAAUGGGUAAAGAAGCCACGGCUAACUACGUG
This 468-nucleotide ribosomal RNA is filed under the name uncultured bacterium. RNAcentral describes it as "partial 16S ribosomal RNA". It matches the Rfam family "Bacterial small subunit ribosomal RNA", at positions 28 to 507 of the family's 1533-position model. The record is from RNAcentral.